GGGGUUGACUGGAUUUGACAGCGGGUAGAAAUGGUAAGUAAGCAUGCAGUGCGUCAGUGAUUUGCACUUUAAUCUCAGUUACUAAAAUUUUAUCUGGCAAUAACAAUUAUGCUCUUGCUGCUUAAUCGAAUCAUAGUAGAUUGGCUUAAUCCCGGCACCAGGUGCUGAGACGAGACAUCACUCGGGAAUUCUUGCUCCGAAAUAUCCCGGUUCAGUGGUGCAGUUAAAUCGGAGAUAGUUUGCGGUAUCCUCGCAUCGUAAAUGAAACUUUAGAGGAUAAGGUAUGAGUUGAUGGCUUCGGUUCUGCUCAUACACGAAAAUUUAGGCGAAGAUAAGCAUGUAGAAAGCUUAUGGUUUCCUCGUUUGGACGAGGGUUCGAUUCCCUCCAGCUCCACAA
This 397-nucleotide transfer-messenger RNA is filed under the name Bacteroides sp. OttesenSCG-928-F21. It matches the Rfam family "transfer-messenger RNA". Rfam says of the family: Bacterial tmRNA, also known as 10Sa RNA or SsrA, is named for its dual tRNA and mRNA-like properties. Its role is to liberate the mRNA from a stalled ribosome. The record is from RNAcentral. Lineage: Bacteria; Pseudomonadati; Bacteroidota; Bacteroidia; Bacteroidales; Bacteroidaceae.